GCCGUCAUCGUCUAGUCUGGUUAGGACACGGGGCCUUCAAUCCCGUAACAUGGGUUCAAAUCCCAUUGACGGCGC
This 75-nucleotide transfer RNA is filed under the name Parcubacteria group bacterium ADurb.Bin305. RNAcentral's name for it is "tRNA-Glu". It matches the Rfam family "tRNA". Rfam says of the family: Transfer RNA (tRNA) molecules are approximately 80 nucleotides in length. Their secondary structure includes four short double-helical elements and three loops (D, anti-codon, and T loops). The record is from RNAcentral.